This is a long non-coding RNA of Esox lucius (northern pike), 420 nucleotides long. The record is from Ensembl. NCBI's taxonomy places the organism in Eukaryota, Metazoa, Chordata, Actinopteri, Esociformes, Esocidae.
GUUGGUUAUGGACCAGUGCUAUUCCUCAGAACCCUGGCAUCUAAUUUGUAUGGAGCUCUUUGUUUGUACUUGCCAAUUUGCGGUUUUGAUUGUGUUGUUUUUACGUUGUAGUGCUGAAAGACGUGUGCAGUUGUCUUUGGACCCCACCUGUCUUGUUCUAUAUUUUGUCUGGUGUGAUACUUUGUGUGGACCUCUGGAAGAGUAGCUGCUGCUUUUCUCUGUGGCUUAGCAGGACCCUAACCAUUGUUGCCUUUCAUGAACUGAUCCCUGCUAAGCUUGUAGUGUUCACAUUGAACGGUUUGUGUUCAGAAGUGCUGCGGUGAUCGUUACUGUGCGCUGGAGACACGGGGCAGCUCUGCAGGCUGGGUUACUGGGCUGGCGCACGCUCCAUUCAUCUGAAUUAAAGUGGACCUGCGAAAU